GAUGAAGAACGCAGCGAAAUGCGAUAAGUAAUGUGAAUUGCAGAAUUCUGUGAAUCAUCGAAUCUUUGAACGCACAUUGCGCCCCCCAGUAUUCUGGCGGGCAUGCCUGUUCGAGCGUCAUUUCAACCAUCAAGCCCUGCUUGUGUUGGGGUCCUGCGGCUGCCCGCAGGCCCUGAAAACCAGUGGCGGGCUCGCUAGUCACACCGAGCGCAGUAGCACAUCUCGCUCAGGGCGUGCGGCGGGCUCCAGCCGUUAAAGCACCCACCUUUCGCAAGGUUGACCUCGGAUCAGGUAGGAAUACCCGCUGAACUUAAGCAUAUCAAUAAGCGGAGGA
This 334-nucleotide unclassified non-coding RNA is filed under the name soil metagenome. RNAcentral's name for it is "partial contains 5.8S ribosomal RNA, internal transcribed spacer 2, and large subunit ribosomal RNA". The stretch from base 1 to 120 matches the Rfam family "5.8S ribosomal RNA", at positions 35 to 154 of the family's 154-position model. The record is from RNAcentral.